Molecule: ribosomal RNA, 259 nt
Filed under: Caviturritella leucostoma
Lineage: Eukaryota; Metazoa; Mollusca; Gastropoda; Turritellidae
Description: partial 16S ribosomal RNA
Source: RNAcentral
AGACUUCUGCAUCUUCAGGAUAUCCUAAUCCAACAUCGAGGUCACAACCCCCCCUUUCGAUGGGGCCUCUCAAGGGAGAUCAUGCUGUUAUCCCUGCGGUAACUAAUUCUAUUGGUCAGCUUUGCUGGGUCAAAACUAACCGGUCCCCCAGAACUAAGGAAGCUUUUCUUGUUCCCGGGYCGCCCCAACCAAAAACACCGAAUAGCUAUGAAUCUAUUAAAAUAUAAAUCUUUCCAUCCAUUUUUUAAGCUCGACAGGG